GCGGUGAUGAUUCUCUCAGCGUGUUAGACUGCUGAUGCGGAUGAGGAGACAUUGGAUCUGAGC
Molecule: small nucleolar RNA, 63 nt
Organism: Anolis carolinensis (green anole)
Lineage: Eukaryota; Metazoa; Chordata; Lepidosauria; Squamata; Anolidae
Product: small nucleolar RNA, C/D box 104
Source: Ensembl